GGGGCCUGUAAAAGGAAAAUGUUAUGUUUUCCCUUCGCUUUCCUUCUCUGCUGUGAGCUUCAGCGUGGAGAUCUGGGGAGUGUUUCUUCUUCCAAAUUACCCUCCUGUAGAAUGCAUCGGCUGUCGAGUCUUUUCAUAUCUAGUGUUUGCAUUUCCCUUUGUAGCUGUGCUGCUUUCUCUUCUGUCACCCAAGGAAGCGCUUCAUUCGUUAAAUAAUCUAUUGCUCGAUAAUGAACUAUCGCCCAAAAGCUUUUCCAUAAGAAAUCUGAUGGGACGCAGUCUUGCGCGCGGUCUUCUCAUUCACUAAAGCGAAAAGAAACAUUAAUUGCAGAAUGAGACUUGGAACUGGCCUUAAGUGCAUGGCCAUCUAGUGGUUGUCAAGAAUCCCAAAAGCAUCUUAGAAAUACUAGCAGUGAGCCGAACUUUUACGUUUAGAAUCUGGCAAAAAAUGACCGGAAAAUUGAUACAAAUAGAGAAUGUUACGUUCUGAACUUUCCAGAUUCAGAACAUAAGCUAUGGACGUGAUCUAUCAAUCGAAUAUAGAAAGUUUUGGCCAUUUGAUUAUUUAAACUUUUAACUGACAAAAGUUGCUGAAAAUAUUACUAUUUGUUUUCUUAAGGGCUUCAUAGAAGCCCUUAAGAAAUUACCCUCCUGUAGAAUGCAUCGGCUGUCGAGUCUUUUCAUAUCUAGUGUUUGCAUUUCCCUUUGUAGCUGUGCUGCUUUCUCUUCUGUCACCCAAGGAAGCGCUUCAUUCGUUAAAUAAUCUAUUGCUCGAUAAUGUGUGUGUUGUACAAAUAUACUGAUGAGUGCUAAUUUAAAUCAAAUUGAAUAAUGCAUUAAAAGAAAUCUUUACUUUUUCAAACCAGGAGCAGUAAGUUCUAGCAUGCUUCUAGUCCUCUUCAAUUAAAAUGGAGGAAAUCAACCUAAAUGAAAAAACGAACCCUUUUCCUUGGAGUACUCCAAUAAAAAGCAAUCAGAAAAUCUGCACCUUGUUUCUGGCAUCCAUCAUUGGCUUCGGCACCAGGCUCAGACCCGAAUUGGGGGACAAGAAUGUUAACCAUAAACCAAUCAGCAGUAAGAUAUGACCUAGAAUUUCCUGUGUUAAUUAGCUAUGGUAUGAAAAAUGGUAUUGAAUCUUUGAUGUUAUCAAUAAAAGAUUGUAAAAGAUUCUUGCCUAGGCAUGCUUCUGAGACAACUGAACAGUUGUCAGCAAAAUACAAGUUAAUUCAAGUUAUCUAUUUCUGUCUUCAUUAACGAAUUUGCAAUCUAAUUUUAUCAUCCAAAAUUAGGCUUCUGGAAGCAUUUUUAGAAACCAAAAGGAAGAGGAAAAAUGUCCUGCAGAACAAUGCAAUGUUAAUACUAUAUAAACAAUCUAUCAAGAAUAGACAACCUCUUUACAGCAUAUCAUAUAUCUAUUCAUCCUGUUUAUUAAAUUCAUAUAAUAUAAUAAACAGGUUAAAAAAGGCAAAAAUACUCCAGCUGAUCUAGAAGAUCAAAUUUGUUGCUUGAUAUAAAACAACUUGUAGUUUACAUUUAUAAAUUAUUUUACU
Molecule: long non-coding RNA, 1550 nt
Organism: Thamnophis elegans (Western terrestrial garter snake)
Lineage: Eukaryota; Metazoa; Chordata; Lepidosauria; Squamata; Natricidae
Exons: 2
Source: RefSeq, a predicted model, not a curated record